Molecule: ribosomal RNA, 480 nt
Filed under: uncultured bacterium
Lineage: Bacteria
Description: bacterial SSU rRNA
Rfam family: Bacterial small subunit ribosomal RNA
Source: RNAcentral
GAUUAACGCUAGCGGCAGGCCUAAUACAUGCAAGUCGAACGGCAGCGGGUGUAGCAAUACAUGCCGGCGAGUGGCGCACGGGUGCGUAACGCGUAUGCAAUCUACCUAUAACUGGGGAAUAGCCUUCCGAAAGGAAGAUUAAUACCGCAUAACAUCACGGAACGGCAUCGUUUUGUGAUCAAAACUCAGGUGGUUAUAGAUGAGCAUGCGUGACAUUAGCUAGUUGGUGAGGUAACGGCUCACCAAGGCGACGAUGUCUAGGGGGUCUGAGAGGAUGAUCUCCCACACUGGUACUGAGACACGGACCAGACUCCUACGGGAGGCAGCAGUAAGGAAUAUUGGACAAUGGCCGCAAGGCUGAUCCAGCCAUGCCGCGUGAAGGAUGAAGGUGCUAUGCAUUGUAAACUUCUUUUGUCCCGGAAUAAACCCCUGAUUUCUAUCGGGGCUGAAUGUACGGGAAGAAUAAGGGACGGCUAACUU